GGGCCGAAUCCGUAAUCCGCGCAACUAUUUGCGAGGCAGGACGACAGCCGCCAAAACACCCAACUCCUCCCCGCACCCGCCGGCGCAGUUCGAAUUUGAAAUCUCCGCUGGCGCCUACGUCAUCACGUACGUCGGGCGCGUGCGCAACUCUUCACACGCCGCUCUCGGUCGCAGGAAUUCUGCGUACUACUGGCGUCCCGCUGGCUCACUCAGCACCCCGGCGACUCUGGACACUCACCUUUAAGAAUUGAAUGACUUCCUGACUUGGAUGUGGACCUAGUGGCUAGAUUCAAAUAUGAAACAGGAGGUUGUGUGGAGGGCUCAGGAAAAUAGGAGGAUUCAACUGAGAUUCCAGAAACAAGAUCAUAUUUUAAUGCUCUUUUGCUCAAGUGGCUGAAAAUUUUGAAUUAUCAACCCUGAAAUUAAAAGUUUAUAUUAAAACAUUAUGUUUCCUUAACGUAUCAUGAAUGUCAAAUUCUUUUGUGUGUAUGUGUUAAGUUUAUAUAUUUGCACAUGAAAUCUACCUGUGCAUAUGAAGUAUAUUUUUAUUGAUAUGUUGGACGUUUAAGAAGUUAAUCUGAAAAGUUGGGUUUUACAUCUAAACCCUCAUUUCCAGAGAUUUUUGUUUUUGCUUUUUGCUUUUCUAUUUUAAAAGAAGAGAAUGUCUGUGGUGCACCAGCUGUCACCAGGAUGGUUACUAGAUCAUCUUUCUUUCAUUAACAACAUAAACUAUCAACUUCACCAACAUCAUGAGCCUUGUUGUGGUAAAAAUGAGCCUACUUCAUCUGUUCACUUUGAUUCUCUUCAAAUGGAUUCUUUGACCUCUUUUGGAACCUCUGCUACAUUUAAUGCUUUUGACUCUGCCACUCAGCCAGAUAAUGAUGACAGAGGAAAAUGUGAAAUCUCUAUACAGAAAUACGUUUUUCGAUCUGAGCUAUUUAAUGUCACCAAACCUUACAUAAUUUCAGCUGUUCACAAUGAAUGCCAACAGAGGAAUGAAAAGGAAUAUCCAGUGGAUGGUGUUAAAGAAGAAAACUGCCUUUCUAUUAUUGGGAAGAAGCGUAAAAGAUGUGUUGUUUUCAAUCAAGGUGAAUUGGAUGCAAUGGAAUACCAUACAAAGAUCAGGGGACUGAUUUUGGAUGGCUCUUCAGAGUUAAUCCAAGAAGGUUUCAAAAGUGGCUUUCUUCAUCCACUUUCUGAAAAAUGGGACAAGUGUAGUGAGCCUGUUACCUUACCACUUGAUACCUGCAAUUUGUCAGAAUUAUGUGCAAUGGCGAAGCAUUUGCCUUCUUUGAACGAAACGGAACUUCAGGCAUUACAAUUGAUGGAAGAAGAUAUAUCUGUUACAGAACAGGAUUUAUUUUCACGGGUUGUUGAAAACAACUCUAGCUUUACAAAAAUGAUUACUUUAAUGGGGCAGAAAUACCUGGUGCCACCCAAAAGCAGUUUUCUUUUGUCUGACAUUUCUUGUAUGCAUCCACUUCUAAACUGUAGGAAAACAUAUGAUGUAAUUGUGAUAGAUCCACCAUGGCAGAACAAAUCAGUUAAAAGAAGUAAUAGGUACAGUUAUUUAUCACCACUGCAAAUAAAGCAGAUACCUAUUCCUAAACUGGCUGCUCCAAACUGUCUUGUUAUUACUUGGGUGACCAAUAGACAAAAGCACCUACGUUUUGUAAAGGAAGAACUUUAUCCUUCUUGGUCUGUUGAUAUAGUUGCUGAGUGGCAUUGGGUAAAAAUCACCAAUUCAGGAGAGUUUGUGUUCCCACUAGAUUCUCCACACAAAAAGCCUUAUGAAGGUCUUAUAUUGGGGAGAGUUCGAGAAAAAACUAUACCAUUAAGGAAUGCAGGUAUAAAAGUGCUUCCCAUUCCAGAUCACAAGUUAAUUGUCAGUGUACCCUGUACUCUUCACUCACAUAAGCCACCGCUUGCUGAGGUUCUAAAAGACUAUGUCAAGCCAGAUGGGGAGUGUUUGGAAUUGUUUGCUCGAAAUUUACAGCCAGGUUGGACUAGUUGGGGCAAUGAAGUUCUCAAAUUUCAACACUUGGAUUAUUUUGUUGCUCUGGAGUCUAAAAGCUGACUUUGAUCAUAAAGUUGUGAUUUUCUUCAGUUUUUCCUCACCUCUUUUUCCUUCAUUCGAACUGAUUUUUCCUUUUCUUACCAACUAGUAUGCUUAGAAAUGUAAACAGGACUUGAUUUUUCUGCAAAGGACCAGAAGUGACAAGUCUUUAUGUAGUUUUGAGAUGAAUUUACUUCAGUUGCACUAGUAUUCCCCAUUAUUCCAGAUUCACUGCAAAUAAAGAGGGGAAAAGGAAGAAGUCCAACAUGUGAAGCAGUUUAUGUAGGAGGGAAGGAUCCCAUUCAACAGUGGCACAGACUCCUGCAAAAGAAACCGUUCAGGACAGAACUUGGAAGAAGACUAAAAAAACCAAGACAGGCAGAGAAGGCAAAUUCUGAGGGAGAGGACAGGGGCAGCUGAAGAAGAGGGAAUGGAGAAGCCUGAGGUGAUGGUACUCUGACUUAAGCCUCCUCUUUGGCCUCCUCACCAAAAUCCUCUUCUUCUUCUGCGAUGGCAUCCUGGUACUGCUGGUACUCAGAGACAAGGUCGUUCAUGUUGCUCUCAGCUUCGGUGAACUCCAUCUUGUCCAUGCCUUAACCUGCGUACCAGUGGAGGAAGGCCUUGCCCCGGAACAUGGCUGUGAACUGCUCUGAGAUGCGCUUGAAAAGCUCCUGGAUGGCCGUGCUAUUUCCAAUGAAGGUGACUGCCAUCUUGACUGCCAUCUUGAGGCCACAGGGCCACAGCGGACUUGGCAUUGUUGGGGAUCCAUUCCACGAAGUAACUACUAUUCUUGUUUUGCACAUUGAGCAUCUGCUCAUCUACCUCCUUCAUGGACAUCCACCCACGGAAGACAGCAGCCACAGUGAGGUAAUAGCCAUGGCGGGGGUCACAGGCAGCCAUCAUGUUCUUGGCAUCAAAGCCUUGCCUGGUGAGUUCAGGCACAGUGAGGGCCUGAUACUGCUGGCUUCCACGGCUGGUCAGAGGUGCAAAGCCAGGCAUGAAGAAGUGGAGACGUGGGAAGGGCACCAUGUUGACUGCCAGCUUGCGGAGGUCAGCAUUGAGCUGACCAGGGAUGCGGAAGCAGGUGGUGACACCACUCAUGGUGGCUGAGACAAGGUGGUUGAGGUCCCCAUAGGUUGGCGUGGUCAGCUUGAGGGUGCGGAAGCAGAUGUCAUACAGGGCCUCAUUUUCAAUGCAAUAGAUCUCAUCUGUGUUCUCUACCAACUGAUGGAUGGAGAGGGUGACAUUGUAGGGCUCAACCACUGUGUCAGACACUUUGGGGGAGGGCACCACACUGAAGGUGUUCAUGAUGCGGUCAAGGUACUCUUCUCGGAUCUUGCUGAUGAGCAGCGUGCCCAUGCCAGAACCCGUGCCCCUGCCCAGUGAGUGGGUCAGCUGGAAGCCCUGCAGGCAGUCACAGCUCUCAGCUUCCUUCUGCACCACAUCCAGGAUUGAGUCCACUAGCUCAGCCCCCUCUGUGUAGUGGCCCUUGGCCCAGUUGUUGCCAGCCCCAGACUGCCCAAAAACAAAGUUUUCUGGUCUGAAUAUCUGCCCUAAAGGACCUGAGCGAACAGAGUCCAUGGUCCCGGGUUCUAGAUCCACCAACAUAGGGCAAGGUACGUAUUUGCCACCUGUAGCUUCAUUGUAGUACAUGGAGAUACGAUCCAGCUGCAGGUCGUUGUCACCGUGGUAGGUUCUGGUGGGAUCGAUGCCGUGUUCAUCACUGAUGACCUCCCAGAACUUGGCACCUGUCUGGUCACCACAUUGACCGGCCUGGAUGUGCACAAUUUCCCUUAUUGUUAAAAUUUAUUUUAAUUCUUUUUGCUUCUCUCAAAGGUGUGUAUGGGGUGGAAAGUGAGAUGUGGUUUUUUCCUAUACUGCUAUUCGCAGGCUGGAAGGAUGGGAUGUGUCCAGAGGCUGGAGCAAUGAGGUCCGAGCACAGUGACAGGAACGUUCUCUGUAGAGCCAUCUUGUAUUGGGCUGGGAGAUGGUUUCUGAGAGCACAGAUAUAGUUGUUGAAGGAAUUAGAGGAUAUGCAUAUAGGGUAUGAGAGCAGGGAGGAGAAAGCCUCCAAACUGCCAGGCAUCUAAUGUGGAUGCUCUCCAGAUCAUGUUGUUCCUAUUCCCCCAUGUAUAGAUAAGUCAAUUAAAAAUGAUUUAAGGGACGCCUGGGCGGCUCAGUGGUUGAGCACCUGCCUUCAGCUCAGGUCGUGAUCCUGGGAUC
Molecule: RNA transcript, 4279 nt
Organism: Canis lupus familiaris (dog)
Lineage: Eukaryota; Metazoa; Chordata; Mammalia; Carnivora; Canidae
Gene: METTL4
Gene name: methyltransferase like 4
Exons: 10
Source: RefSeq, a predicted model, not a curated record